CAAUAGCGUAUAUUAAAGUUGUUGCAGUUAAAAAGCUCGUAGUUGGAUUUCUGAUCGAGACAUCAGGUCGGGUCCGAGAGGAUCAUGUACUUUGAUUUUGUUUUGAUCAUCCUUGGGGAGAGCAUUUCUGGCAUUCAGUUGUCGGGAUUGGGAUCCUCAUCGUUUACUGUGAAAAAAUUAGAGUGUUCAAAGCAGGCCUCGGCCUCUGAAUACAUUAGCAUGGAAUAAUAAGAUAGGACUUUGGUGGUCUAUUUUGUUGGUUUGCACGCCAAAGUAAUGAUUAAUAGGGAUAGUUGGGGGUAUUCGUAUUCAAUUGUCAGAGGUGAAAUUCUUGGAUUUAUGAAAGACGAACUACUGCGAAAGCAUUUGCCAAGGAUGUUUUCAUUAA
Molecule: ribosomal RNA, 388 nt
Filed under: uncultured eukaryote
Lineage: Eukaryota
Description: partial 18S ribosomal RNA
Rfam family: Eukaryotic small subunit ribosomal RNA
Source: RNAcentral